Molecule: transfer RNA, 90 nt
Filed under: Dreissena polymorpha
Lineage: Eukaryota; Metazoa; Mollusca; Bivalvia; Myida; Dreissenidae
Rfam family: tRNA
About the family: Transfer RNA (tRNA) molecules are approximately 80 nucleotides in length. Their secondary structure includes four short double-helical elements and three loops (D, anti-codon, and T loops). Further hydrogen bonds mediate the characteristic L-shaped molecular structure. tRNAs have two regions of fundamental functional importance: the anti-codon, which is responsible for specific mRNA codon recognition, and the 3' end, to which the tRNAs corresponding amino acid is attached (by aminoacyl-tRNA synthetases). tRNAs cope with the degeneracy of the genetic code in two manners: having more than one tRNA (with a specific anti-codon) for a particular amino acid; and 'wobble' base-pairing, i.e. permitting non-standard base-pairing at the 3rd anti-codon position.
Source: Rfam by way of RNAcentral
GCCGGAAUAGCUCAGUUGGAAAAGCGUUAGACUGAAGUUGUUUACGCAACAGUCACCUAAAGGCCCCCGGUUCAAUCCCGGGUUCCGGCA